UACGGAGGGUGCAAGCGUUAUCCGGAAUCACUGGGCGUAAAGGGCGCGUAGGUGGUCUGUUAAGUCUGGCGUUAAAGCCUGGGGCUCAACCCCGGAUCAGCGUUGGAUACUGGCAGGCUAGACGGUUGGAGAGGCGAGUGGAAUUACCAGUGUAGCGGUGAAAUGCGUAGAUACUGGUAGGAACACCCAUUGCGAAGGCAGCUCGCUGGACAACACGUGACGCUGAGGCGCGAAAGUGUGGGGAGCAAACCGGAUUAGAUACCCGGGUAGUCCCU
Molecule: ribosomal RNA, 275 nt
Filed under: uncultured prokaryote
Description: partial 16S ribosomal RNA
Rfam family: Bacterial small subunit ribosomal RNA
Source: RNAcentral